AUUGAACGCUGGCGGCAUGCCUUACACAUGCAAGUCGAACGGCAGCACGGGUGCUUGCCCCUGGUGGCGAGUGGCGAACGGGUGAGUAAUACAUCGGAACAUGUCCUGUAGUGGGGGAUAGCCCGGCGAAAGCCGGAUUAAUACCGCAUACGAUCUACGGAUGAAAGCGGGGGACCUUCGGGCCUCGCGCUAUAGGGUUGGCCGAUGGCUGAUUAGCUAGUUGGUGGGGUAAAGGCCUACCAAGGCGACGAUCAGUAGCUGGUCUGAGAGGACGACCAGCCACACUGGGACUGAGACACGGCCCAGACUCCUACGGGAGGCAGCAGUGGGGAAUUUUGGACAAUGGGCGAAAGCCUGAUCCAGCAAUGCCGCGUGUAUGAAGAAGGCCUUCGGGUUGUAAAGCACUUUUGUCCGGAAAGAAAUCCUUGGCCCUAAUACGGUCGGGGGAUGACGGUACCGGAAGAAUAAGCACCGGCUAACUACGUG
Molecule: ribosomal RNA, 486 nt
Filed under: uncultured bacterium
Lineage: Bacteria
Description: partial 16S ribosomal RNA
Rfam family: Bacterial small subunit ribosomal RNA
Source: RNAcentral